RNAcentral lists this ribosomal RNA (318 nucleotides) under uncultured bacterium. RNAcentral describes it as "bacterial SSU rRNA". It matches the Rfam family "Bacterial small subunit ribosomal RNA", at positions 146 to 497 of the family's 1533-position model. The record is from RNAcentral.
ACACGAGGAAACUUGUGCUAAUACCUCAUAAGUCUUUACAGAGAAAGCUUUAUGCGCCGAAGGAUGAGCCUGCACUUGAUUAGUUUGUUGGUGGGGUAAUGGCUCACCAAGACUUUGAUCAAUAGCUGAUCUGAGAGGAUGAUCAGCCACAUUGGGACUGAGACACGGCCCAAACUCCUACGGGAGGCAGCAGUAGGGAAUAUUGCACAAUGGAGGAAACUCUGAUGCAGCGAUGCCGCGUGAGUGAAGAAGGCCUUUGGGUUGUAAAGCUCUUUCGUCGGGGAAGAAAAUGACUGUACCCGAAUAAGAAGGUCCGGC